Long non-coding RNA from Ipomoea nil (Japanese morning glory), 497 nucleotides. RefSeq lists it as uncharacterized. The transcript is spliced from 3 exons. NCBI's taxonomy places the organism in Eukaryota, Viridiplantae, Streptophyta, Magnoliopsida, Solanales, Convolvulaceae. The record is from RefSeq and is a predicted model, not a curated record.
GGUACAGCCACCAUGUUUGAAAACAGGAGUAAAGCGAUAGUAAAUACUGUAGAUUUCUUCUCCAAGGAAGACAAGUUCAACAAGAAAUAUCGUUUGAAUUUCGUCUGAUUUCUCCUCGAGCUCCUGGAGAAAGGAAGCUUCUGGGACAUGGUCGGUUAGCGGCGAAAUUCGGAGAGCCGCCUUUGAGUCCUCCCAAUUCCCAAACGUCUGUAAAUGCUGCUCUGCUUGUGCGCCUGCGAGAACACUAUAGCUACAGUAUUUUCUUUCCCCGCAAUCCUGGGCAUGAGUAAGCUGUAAGCCAUGGAUUUCCAGAAAUGGAUUGUUUUCCUAAUAUUGAAUUUACAUCUUUGUGUCAUUGCCAAACGGAUAAAUGAACCUCCUUCGACUCCAAUGCCUCCGCCACCAGGGAAGGAUGGUAAUAAAACCUCAACAGUCAGCAUUAUUGUAGUUUCAAUUGCCAUGGGUCUUAUCUUGAUUGCAAUUUGCAUUUUUAUCAU